GGAGAAGUGGCCGAGUGGUCGAAGGCGGGCGCUUGGAGAGCGUCUGGGCUGCGAGGUCCCGUGGGUUCGAAUCCCACCUUCUCCGCCA
This 88-nucleotide transfer RNA is filed under the name Synergistaceae bacterium. Its description in RNAcentral is "tRNA-Ser". It matches the Rfam family "tRNA". From Rfam's summary of the family: Transfer RNA (tRNA) molecules are approximately 80 nucleotides in length. Their secondary structure includes four short double-helical elements and three loops (D, anti-codon, and T loops). Further hydrogen bonds mediate the characteristic L-shaped molecular structure. tRNAs have two regions of fundamental functional importance: the anti-codon, which is responsible for specific mRNA codon recognition, and the 3' end, to which the tRNAs corresponding amino acid is attached (by aminoacyl-tRNA synthetases). tRNAs cope with the degeneracy of the genetic code in two manners: having more than one tRNA (with a specific anti-codon) for a particular amino acid; and 'wobble' base-pairing, i.e. permitting non-standard base-pairing at the 3rd anti-codon position. The record is from RNAcentral. Lineage: Bacteria; Thermotogati; Synergistota; Synergistia; Synergistales; Synergistaceae. RNAcentral also lists the same sequence under 1 other name.